AGAACAUGCUGGAUCACAAUGGGGUGGGGGCAUUAUAUUGUGAUGGAGGAGUGCUAUGUCACGUUGCUAUGUCUAUUGCGACGAUGGGGAGCUCUAUCGCGAUGGGAGAGCUUCCUAUCGCGACGGUCGGACCUUUAUAACAGUGACUGGGAGCUCUAUCGCGACAGGCGGGUGUCCUAUCGCGACAGUCGGACCUCUAUAGCAGCGACUGGGAGCUCUAUCGCGACAGGCGGGUGUCCUAUCGCGACAGUUGGACCUCUAUAGCAGCGACGGGGAUCUCUAUCGCGAUGGGAGAGCAUCCCAUCACGACGGUCGGACCUCUAUCGCAGCGACGGGGAGCUCUAUCGCGACGGGAGAGCGUCCCAUCGCGACAGUCGGACCUCUAUCGCAACGACGGGGGCAUCGUGUCGUCCCGCAGGUGAUCCCGAAGCGGACGAACCGCCCCGGAAUCAGCACGACGGAUCGGGGUUUCCCCCGUUCUCGUUACCGGGGUCGCGGCGGAGGCGGCGGUUACGGGGCGAGCCGAGCGCGAUUCUACAGCGGCUACAGUCGGCCCCGGGGGAGGGCCUACAGGGGCCGAGCCAGAGCCACCUCCUGGUACUCCCCAUACUGAAGGCCGUCAGCGCCCCACAAGUGUGGGGCAGAGAAAAGGGACGGGAGGUGGGGGAGGGGAGGAGGAGGAGGAGGAGGAGGAGGAGGAGGGGGCGGGGCCAUCCCUUGACCCCGCCCCCCUCCCGCUCAAGCCCCGCCCCCUUCCCCGUGAGUCUCCUUUGUCUUUCAGGUGGCGGAGCCGCAGCCAAUGGGACGACGCCGUUGGGGGCCGAGGGGCGGGGCCAAGCAAUGAGGGGGCGGGGCAGAACAACAACAAGAAAAAAAAAAUAUGACUAUUUGGGGGCGUGGCUUGUUGGGAGGGGGCGGGACUUCCGGUCCGGGGGUGUGGUCACAGGAAGUGGAGGAGGAGGAGGAGGAGGAGGAGGAGGAAGAGGAGGGGGAGGGGAAAUAAAGGCCCCCGGGGGGAACCGGAAGUGUCGUGUGAGUCUUCAUGUGGGGGGGCUACGACCCAUAAGUGUGGGGCUGGACCCAUAAGUGUGGGUCAGACCCAUAAGUGUGGGGGGGGACCCAUAAGUGGGGCGUCGGACCCAUAAGUGGGGGGUCAGACCCAUAAGUGAGACCCAUAAGUGGGGGAUCAGACCCAUAAGUGUGGGGCAGGACCCAUAAGUGUGGGGUGAGACCCAUAAGUGGGGGGUCAGACCCAUAAGUGUGGAGUGGGACCCAUAAGUGCGGGGUGGGACCCAUAAAUGUGGGGCAGGACCCAUAAGUGGGGGGUCAGACCCAUAAGUGAGACCCAUAAGUGGGGGGUGGGACCCAUAAGUGUGGGGCAGGACCCAUAAAUGUGGGGUGGGGACCCGUAAGUGGGGGGUGGGACCCAUAAGUGUGGGGCAGGACCCAUAAGUGGGGGGUCAGACCCAUAAGUGAGACCCAUAAGUGUGGGGUCAGACCCAUAAGUGUGGGGUGGGACCCAUAAGUGUGGGGUCAGACCCAUAAGUGUGGGUCAGGACCCAUAAAUGUGGGGUGGGACCCGUAAGUGUGGGGCAGGACCCAUAAGUGUGGGGCAGGACCCAUAAGUGGGGGGUCGGACCCAUAAGUGAGACCCAUAAGUGUGGGGCUGGACCCAUAAGUGUGGGGCAGGACCCAUAAGUGGGGAGUCAGACCCAUAAGUGGGGGGUCGGACCCAUAAGUGAGACCCAUAAGUGUGGGGCAGGACCCAUAAGUGUGGGGCCCCAAAUGACCCCGUUGACCCCUAAUGGUCACAUGACCCACCCGUGACCUCUAAUGACCCCCAAAUGACCCGGAAGUAAUCAGCGCCGGGUUCGUCAUUGGCUUUUAUUGUUCCGGGCUUUGGGGCGGAGCGAAGGGCGGGGCUUCAGGGUUAAGCCCCGCCCCCUUUCCCGAGCGGCGUCCAUUGAUUGGAUGAGAGCCACGGCGCGGCGCUGGGGGCGGAGUCAGAGGGGGGAGGGGUCAGAAAGGGGCGGGGCUAAAAGGAAGGGGCGGGGCUAAAGGGAAGGGGCGGGGCUAAAGGGAUCAG
Molecule: long non-coding RNA, 2086 nt
Filed under: Phasianus colchicus (ring-necked pheasant)
Lineage: Eukaryota; Metazoa; Chordata; Aves; Galliformes; Phasianidae
Description: lncRNA (ENSPCLG00000013917.1)
Source: RNAcentral